This 511-nucleotide ribosomal RNA is filed under the name uncultured archaeon. RNAcentral's name for it is "bacterial SSU rRNA". It matches the Rfam family "Archaeal small subunit ribosomal RNA", at positions 346 to 859 of the family's 1478-position model. The record is from RNAcentral.
ACCUCUGCAAUAGGCGAAAGCCUGACAGGGUUACUCUGAGUGAUUUUCGUUAAGAAAGUCUUUUGGCACCUCUAAAAAUGGUGCAGAAUAAGGGGUGGGCAAGUCUGGUGUCAGCCGCAGCGGUAAUACCAGCACCCCGAGUGGUCGGGACGAUUAUUGGGCCUAAAGCAUCCGUAGCCGGUUCUGCAAGUCUCCCGUUAAAUCCAACUGCUCAACAGGUGGGCUGCGGAGGAUACUACAGAGCUAGGAGGCAGGAGAGGCAAGCGGUACUCAGUGGGUAGGGGUAAAAUCCGUUGAUCCAUUGAAGACCACCAGUGGCGAAGGCGGCUUGCCAGAAUGCGCUCGACGGUGAGGGAUGAAAGCUGGGGGAGCAAACCGGAUUAGAUACCCGGGUAGUCCCAGCCGUAAACGAUGCAGACUCGGUGAUGGGUUGGCUUCGCGCUAACCCAGUGCCGCAGGGAAGCCGUUAAGUCUGCCGCCUGGGUAGUACGGUCGCAAGACUGAAACUUAA